RNAcentral lists this ribosomal RNA (431 nucleotides) under uncultured bacterium. RNAcentral describes it as "bacterial SSU rRNA". It matches the Rfam family "Bacterial small subunit ribosomal RNA", at positions 354 to 796 of the family's 1533-position model. The record is from RNAcentral.
GUGGGGAAUAUUGCGCUAAUGCGCGAAAGCGUGACGCAGCGACGCCGCGUGGGGGAUGAAGGCCCUCGGGUCGUAAACCCCUUUCGGCAGGGACGAAGCGAGAGUGACGGUACCUGCAGAAGAAGUCCCGGCUAACUACGUGCCAGCAGCCGCGGUAACACGUAGGGGACGAGCGUUGUCCGGAUUCAUUGGGCGUAAAGCGCGCGUAGGCGGCCCGGAAAGUCGGUUGUGAAAUCCCGGGGCUCAACCCCGGGACCGCGUCCGAAACUUCCGAGCUUGAGGCAGGUAGGGGAGAUCGGAAUUCCUGGUGUAGCGGUGAAAUGCGCAGAUAUCAGGAGGAACACCGGUGGCGAAGGCGGAUCUCUGGGCCUUGCCUGACGCUGAGGCGCGAAAGCUAGGGGAGCGAACAGGAUUAGAAACCCUAGUAGUCC